UACCGAGUUUACAACUCCCAAACCCCUGUGAACAUACCUAUCGUUGCUUCGGCGGGAUCGCCCCGGUGCCCUCGGGCCCGGAUCCAGGCGCCCGCCGGAGGACCCAAACUCUUGUUUCUAUGAGUAUCUUCUGAGUAACAAGCAAAUAAAUUAAAACUUUCAACAACGGAUCUCUUGGUUCUGGCAUCGAUGAAGAACGCAGCGAAAUGCGAUAAGUAAUGUGAAUUGCAGAAUUCCGUGAAUCAUCGAAUCUUUGAACGCACAUUGCGCCCGCCAGUAUUCUGGCGGGCAUGCCUGUUCGAGCGUCAUUUCAACCCUCAAGCCCCCGGGCUUGGUGUUGGGGCUCGGCCCGUCCCUUCGCGGCGCGCCGUCUCCGAAAUCUAGUGGCGGUCUCGCUGUAGCCUCCUCUGCGUAGUAGCUAACACCUCGCAACGGGAACGCAGCGCGGCCACGCCGUUAAACCCCCCACUUCUGAAGGUUGACCUCGGAUCAGGUAGGAAUACCCGCUGAACUUAAGCAUAUCAAUAAGCGGAGGAAAAGAAACCAACAGGGAUUGCCCUAGUAACGGCGAGUGAAGCGGCAACAGCUCAAAUUUGAAAUCUGGCCCUCGGGUCCGAGUUGUAAUUUGUAGAGGAUGCUUUUGGUGCGGUGCCUUCCGAGUUCCCUGGAACGGGACGCCAUAGAGGGUGAGAGCCCCGUCUGGUUGGAUACCAAUCCUCUGUAAAGCUCCUUCGACGAGUCGAGUAGUUUGGGAAUGCUGCUCAAAAUGGGAGGUAUAUGUCUUCUAAAGCUAAAUACC
Molecule: ribosomal RNA, 799 nt
Filed under: Sordariomycetes sp. TC142a
Lineage: Eukaryota; Fungi; Ascomycota; Sordariomycetes
Description: eukaryotic LSU rRNA
Rfam family: Eukaryotic large subunit ribosomal RNA (bases 480-799)
Source: RNAcentral